CGGCCAGGUAGGCCAGGCGCGGGCCUCCCCGCACGCCGGGCGGCAGCCGCCCCGUGCCGUAGCCGUGCCAGGCCACCACGUACGGGUUGUCCAUGGUCAGCCAGUAGCGCACCUGCCCGCCGAAGUGCCGGAAGCACAGCUCGGCGUAGUCGCGGAAGAGCCCGGGCAGGACGGGGCUGGCCCAGCCGCCGAAGGCGUGCUGCAGGGCCUGCGGCAGGUCCCAGUGGUAGAGGGUGACCACGGGCUCGACGCCCAGCUCCCGCAGGCGGGCCAGCAGCCGCCCGUAGUGCGCCAGCCCGGCGGGGUUGGGCGGCGCCGUCCCGUUGGGCAGCAGCCGGGCCCAGGACAGCGAGAAGCGGUAAUGCGAGACCCCCAGGCGCCGCAGCCCCUCGACGUCGCGGAACAGGUUGUUGUAGCUGUCGCUGGCCACGUCGCCGCCCACGGGCCCCGGCGGGGCGGCCCCCGACGGCGUGGCCGGGCGGUGGGCGAAGGUGUCCCAGAUGGACGCGCCCUUGCCGCCCUGGCGCCAGCCGCCCUCCGUCUGGUAGGCGGCGCUGCCCGCGCCCCAGAGGAAGCCGUCGGGGAAGGUGUCGUGGAGGAAGAGCUGGUCCUGCGGGUAGGGCAGCCGGGCGAAGCGGGACCAGGUGCCCGCGCCCUGCCCCGGCGCUCCCAGCCCCGGCCGCCCCAAGAGCAGCAGCAGCAGCGGUGGCAGCAGCGACGCGGCGAGGGCCAUGUUCCCGGCGGGGCUCCGCGACAGCAGCUCCCGCCUCCCAGCUCCCCGCCGCCCCAUUUUAUCUCACCUUGCGCCCCCCCCUUCCCGCCCCGGUGGGCACGGCCAUUAAUAAUUACCUCGGAGCUGCCGUCUGCAUCCUUCCCAGCCGGUUCCAUCGGGGAGAGCUGCCGCCGGGGGCGGGAGCCAGGGCGUGAGACGGGGCGGGCGGGGAGGAAAGGGAGGAAGCCGGGGCGUGGGCGCCUCGGGGAGAGGUGGACCCUGUCACCCCCUCAGGGUGUCCGUAGGUACCCCCACGGCCCCUCAAAGGGAGAGAUCCCGGUCCGCGGGCGGCAGGCGGGGUGCCGCAGCCCUUCGCCCGCCCCGCCGGGCCCCCGCACCUCGCCGCGACCGCGGUGUCCCCUCGGAAGUGGGACCCUCGCCGCUCUCCUGCCGCCUUUCUUCCCAUCGGAAGAGCCCGCGGAGAGACUCGAUGCCGGAUCCGUCCCCUCUGAGGGGAUGAGCGUGGCCCCCUCGCGUGCCCCGCUGCAGUGCCGCCGUCGGGAAGUCCGUGGGGCAGCGGCGGACCGGGGAGGGGGAAGCGAUCAGGGGGCUGGGCUGGGGGAAAAGCGAGGAACUAAAAACGCUUUUCUCUUUCCUCAGUGUUUCCGUAGUGGUACUUUAGCAAGACACAUCGCACCUGCGAUCUCUCAUGUAGCAGCAAUUGCAGAGAAUUCGUUGUCCAAGGACAUCAGACACACUCCUCCCCGGGAAUUCAUGGGCUGUCACCUCUCAGUAACAACUCUUUUCUUUCCUGGAGUAGGAGAGCCUUUCAACAGUCAAGGAAAAGAAAUGUCCUUAUGGUGUUAA
Molecule: long non-coding RNA, 1579 nt
Organism: Junco hyemalis (dark-eyed junco)
Lineage: Eukaryota; Metazoa; Chordata; Aves; Passeriformes; Passerellidae
Source: Ensembl